This 453-nucleotide ribosomal RNA is filed under the name Bacillus gaemokensis. RNAcentral describes it as "bacterial SSU rRNA". It matches the Rfam family "Bacterial small subunit ribosomal RNA", at positions 388 to 833 of the family's 1533-position model. Lineage: Bacteria; Bacillati; Bacillota; Bacilli; Caryophanales; Bacillaceae. The record is from RNAcentral.
GGAGCACGCCGCGUGAGUGAUGAAGGCUUUCGGGUCGUAAAACUCUGUUGUUAGGGAAGAACAAGUGCUAGUUGAAUAAGCUGGCACCUUGACGGUACCUAACCAGAAAGCCACGGCUAACUACGUGCCAGCAGCCGCGGUAAUACGUAGGUGGCAAGCGUUAUCCGGAAUUAUUGGGCGUAAAGCGCGCGCAGGUGGUUUCUUAAGUCUGAUGUGAAAGCCCACGGCUCAACCGUGGAGGGUCAUUGGAAACUGGGAGACUUGAGUGCAGAAGAGGAAAGUGGAAUUCCAUGUGUAGCGGUGAAAUGCGUAGAGAUAUGGAGGAACACCAGUGGCGAAGGCGACUUUCUGGUCUGUAACUGACACUGAGGCGCGAAAGCGUGGGGAGCAAACAGGAUUAGAUACCCUGGUAGUCCACGCCGUAAACGAUGAGUGCUAAGUGUUAGAGGGUUU